Oryza glaberrima (African rice) is the source of this 187-nucleotide non-coding RNA. The record is from Rfam. Lineage: Eukaryota; Viridiplantae; Streptophyta; Magnoliopsida; Poales; Poaceae.
AAAAAGAUAAACCAUGGGUUUCCGUGUCCAACUUUGACUGUCCGUUUUAUAUGAAAUUUUUUUAUAAUUCAUAUUUUCAUUAUUGUUAGAUGAUAAAACAUGAUUAACAUUUUAUGUGUGACUUUUCUUUUUAAUUUAUUUUAAAUAAAACGGACGGUCGGACACGGAAACCAGGGUUUGUCUUUUU